GCAUAUCAAUAAGCGGAGGAAAAGAAACCAACAGGGAUUGCCCUAGUAACGGCGAGUGAAGCGGCAACAGCUCAAAUUUGAAAUCUGGCCCUCGGGUCCGAGUUGUAAUUUGUAGAGGAUGCUUUUGGUGAGGUACCUUCCGAGUUCCCUGGAACGGGACGCCAUAGAGGGUGAGAGCCCCGUCUGGUUGGAUACCGAUCCUCUGUAAAGCUCCUUCGACGAGUCGAGUAGUUUGGGAAUGCUGCUCUAAAUGGGAGGUAUAUGUCUUCUAAAGCUAAAUAUUGGCCAGAGACCGAUAGCGCACAAGUAGAGUGAUCGAAAGAUGAAAAGCACUUUGAAAAGAGAGUUAAAAAGUACGUGAAAUUGUUGAAAGGGAAGCGCUCAUGACCAGACUUGGGCUUGGUUGAUCAUCCAGGGUUCUCCCUGGUGCACUCUUCCAGCUCAGGCCAGCAUCAGUUCGCCGCGGGGGAUAAAGGCUUUGGGAAUGUGGCUCCUCCGGGAGUGUUAUAGCCCACUGCGUAAUACCCUGUAGUGGACUGAGGUUCGCGCAUCUGCAAGGAUGCUGGCGUAAUGGUCAUCAGCGACCCGUCUUGAAACACGGACCAAGGAGUCGUCUUCGUAUGCGAGUGUUCGGGUGUUAAACCCCUACGCGUAAUGAAAGUGAACGCAGGUGAGAGCUUCGGCGCAUCAUCGACCGAUCCUGAUGUUCUCGGAUGGAUUUGAGUAAGAGCAUACGGGGCCGGACCCGAAAGAAGGUGAACUAUGCCUGUAUAGGGUGAAGCCAGAGGAAACUCUGGUGGAGGCUCGCAGCGGUUCUGACGUGCAAAUCGAUCGUCAAAUAUGGGCAUGGGGGGCGAAAGACUAAUCGAACCUUCUAGUAGCUGGUUUCCGCGA
RNAcentral lists this ribosomal RNA (894 nucleotides) under Ilyonectria liriodendri. RNAcentral's name for it is "LSU rRNA". It matches the Rfam family "Eukaryotic large subunit ribosomal RNA", at positions 38 to 963 of the family's 3401-position model. Lineage: Eukaryota; Fungi; Ascomycota; Sordariomycetes; Hypocreales; Nectriaceae. The record is from RNAcentral.